RNAcentral lists this unclassified non-coding RNA (263 nucleotides) under plant metagenome. Its description in RNAcentral is "partial contains small subunit ribosomal RNA, internal transcribed spacer 1, and 5.8S ribosomal RNA". The record is from RNAcentral.
UUUCCGUAGGUGAACCUGCGGAAGGAUCAUUAUUGUAUAACCGAGGUGCGAGGGCUGUCGCUGACCCGACAGGUCGUGCACGCCCGAGUGCCCUCACACACAUCCAUCUCACCCCUAUUUGCACCACCGCGUGGGUCCCCCUUUGGCUUGUUCGGAGGGGGGCUUACGUUUUCACACAAACUUUGUAUGCAGUGUAGAAUGUAUUUUUUGUUUUUGCGAUCACGCAAUCAAUACAACUUUCAACAACGGAUCUCUUGGCUCUC